CAAAAAAAAAAAAAAAAAGGAAACGGCGCCGACUCCUCUCCCUCGACCGCCGCCCCUCCUCCGACUUCUCUCCCUCCACCGCCGCCUCCUCCACACCAUCACCGCCCCUCAAUCCAUCCUCGCGCCUCCCUCGACCGCCGCCCCUCUGCUGUCGUCGCAUCCCGCCUCCUCCACACCAUCGCCGCCCCCCAAUCCACCCUCGCGACUCCCCACAUCGACGCGUCGGCGCCCCCAUCGUCACCGUCGAGGAUUCGCCAUCGACGCCCUCCUCUCUCUCGCACUCACCCCGUGACCCGACGCCGCCGACUCCUCCCUCCUCCCUCAUCGCGCCGAAACCCUAGACCCGCACCGCCCUCGACCGCCGCCCCUCCGCCGUCGUCGCAUCCUGCCUCCUCCCCAAGGCCGGCGCCAACUAUUCCCAAGGAGUGCUGAUAACAUAACUUGUAUGGCUUUCAUAUACAAUAGCAGGGAGUUGAAGGAGUUGUAGUUGUACCAAUUUCUCUCCGUUAUUUCCCAGCCGAUCCCAUCGCCCAUGACCAUGUUGCCCGCCUAUCCUCCGUCGCUGCCUCCACGAGUCGCCUCACGUCUAUCUCCUCCGCGCAACCAUCAAUCCCGCGUCGAUCUCCUCCGCGUCCCCCUUCUGCGAGCCCCGGCCACCAACGACGGCGCCCUCUAUUGCGGCAACCUCCUCCUCAGCCGGUGCAAUGGGAAGUGUUCGGGCUGCCACACCAUUAGGUGCAGUGAGACUGAAUCUUGGAGAUAAAUUAUUGAAGAACUGAACUCUAAUUAAGAAGAUAUGCAGCGCAAUUCCAGUAACCAAGGUUCAGAUCAACUCAGUUGAGGGAGAGGCAGUAUUGCCGCCGCCUGGCUGCGCUCCCUCGAAGUCACCUACUACCUCACCAGGUCGGUACUACAUGCAGACCAAGGUUCAGAUCAACUCAGUUGAGGGAGAGGCAGUAUUGCCGCCGCCUGGCUGCGCUCCCUCAGCAUCACCUACUACCCCGCCAGGUCGGUACUACAUGCAGCGACGGCCGCCGUCUCCACUCCUAGCAUGCAUGCAGUUGUUCGCUUCGCCUGGAUGAGUGAUUUGAGUCUCAUGGGUGGCGUUGUGCGCACCGGGGUGGUUGCUUUCAAGCAUUGGGCACUGGCCAUGCCGUCGUUGUUGCUGGUGGUGGCAGCGCAGGGGAUGGUGCUCUACAUGGCCUCCAACUUUCUGCUCCUACUUGCUUGGCCACUAUCUAUGAUGAAUUUGCCUGCGGCGUGUGGUACUGCAAUAGGGGAGGAUAAACCCAUCGAGGCCAUCUCAAUUACUGGCAUCCUUUGUGCUUCACCUAGGCAAUGUACAGUUAGAGGCAAUAGUAAAGGUCUGAUUCUGCCUAUAAAUUCUAAUCAUUAGCCUACGGUCAGUGGAAGGGAAAAUUUAAAACAGAUUCUAAACUGAGACCUAACAUUGAUUUUAUAUUAUGGACUUAAAUCUGAAAUUGAUUUUGCUUGAUGGAUUUGAAAUAAAAAAGUAGCACUGCAUUUGUAAUCAA
Oryza sativa Japonica Group (Japanese rice) is the source of this 1535-nucleotide long non-coding RNA. RefSeq lists it as uncharacterized. NCBI's taxonomy places the organism in Eukaryota, Viridiplantae, Streptophyta, Magnoliopsida, Poales, Poaceae. The record is from RefSeq and is a predicted model, not a curated record.